This 76-nucleotide transfer RNA is filed under the name Clostridia bacterium. RNAcentral describes it as "tRNA-Pro". It matches the Rfam family "tRNA". Rfam says of the family: Transfer RNA (tRNA) molecules are approximately 80 nucleotides in length. Their secondary structure includes four short double-helical elements and three loops (D, anti-codon, and T loops). Further hydrogen bonds mediate the characteristic L-shaped molecular structure. tRNAs have two regions of fundamental functional importance: the anti-codon, which is responsible for specific mRNA codon recognition, and the 3' end, to which the tRNAs corresponding amino acid is attached (by aminoacyl-tRNA synthetases). tRNAs cope with the degeneracy of the genetic code in two manners: having more than one tRNA (with a specific anti-codon) for a particular amino acid; and 'wobble' base-pairing, i.e. permitting non-standard base-pairing at the 3rd anti-codon position. The record is from RNAcentral. Lineage: Bacteria; Bacillati; Bacillota; Clostridia.
CGAGGUGUAGCGCAGCUGGUAGCGCGCCUGCUUUGGGAGCAGGAUGUCGCAGGUUCGAGUCCUGUCACCUCGACCA